RNAcentral lists this ribosomal RNA (495 nucleotides) under uncultured bacterium. RNAcentral's name for it is "partial 16S ribosomal RNA". It matches the Rfam family "Bacterial small subunit ribosomal RNA", at positions 28 to 507 of the family's 1533-position model. The record is from RNAcentral.
GACGAACGCUGGCGGCGUGCCUAAUACAUGCAAGUAGAACGCUGAAGGAGGAGCUUGCUUCUCCGGAUGAGUUGCGAACGGGUGAGUAACGCGUAGGUAACCUGCCUGGUAGCGGGGGAUAACUAUUGGAAACGAUAGCUAAUACCGCAUAAGAGUAGAUGUCGCAUGACAUUUGCUUAAAAGGUGCAACUGCACCACUACCAGAUGGACCUGCGUUGUAUUAGCUAGUUGGUGAGGUAACGGCUCACCAAGGCAACGAUACAUAGCCGACCUGAGAGGGUGAUCGGCCACACUGGGACUGAGACACGGCCCAGACUCCUACGGGAGGCAGCAGUAGGGAAUCUUCGGCAAUGGACGGAAGUCUGACCGAGCAACGCCGCGUGAGUGAAGAAGGUUUUCGGAUCGUAAAGCUCUGUUGUAAGAGAAGAACGAGUGUGAGAGUGGAAAGUUCACACUGUGACGGUAUCUUACCAGAAAGGGACGGCUAACUACAUG